CAGCUCGUUUCUAAAUCAACGGAGGCAUGUUGCUGAGAUAUAUUAUCUUAUGGAACAACUCGUAAAUUUGUCUGCCAUUUAUGAUAAGAUUGGUUCGUCGUUUGCUGAAUAGGAGGCCCCUAGGUAAAGUGGUUAGCGGACCACCGUCGAUGCCUUCUCUUUUUGGAACUCAUGGUACGAAGACUGACAGAUGGGAAAUUAAAGGACACCU
This 211-nucleotide long non-coding RNA is filed under the name Elaeis guineensis (African oil palm). RNAcentral describes it as "long non-coding RNA (EGUI_LNC024048)". Lineage: Eukaryota; Viridiplantae; Streptophyta; Magnoliopsida; Arecales; Arecaceae. The record is from RNAcentral.